GUUGAACGCUGGCGGCGGGCCUAACACAUGCAAGUCGAACGAGUGGCGGACGGGUGAGUAAUGUCUGGGAAACUGCCCGAUGGAGGGGUAUAACUACUGGAAACGGUAGCUACUACCGCAUACCAUCGGUUCUGCCCAGAUGGGAUUAGCUAGUGGGUGGGGUAACGGCUCACCUAGGCGACGCUGCCUAGCUGGUCUGAGAGGAUGACCGGCCACACUGGAACUGAGACACGGUCCAGACUCCUACGGGAGGCAGCAGUGGGGAAUAUUGCACAAUGGGCGCAAGCCUGAUGCAGCCAUGCCGCGUGUAUGAAGAAGGCCUUCGGGUUGUAAAGUACUUUCAGCGAGGAGGCGGUACUCGCAGAAGAAGCACCGGCUAACUCCGUGCCAGCAGCCGCGGUAAUUC
RNAcentral lists this ribosomal RNA (406 nucleotides) under uncultured bacterium. RNAcentral's name for it is "partial 16S ribosomal RNA". It matches the Rfam family "Bacterial small subunit ribosomal RNA", at positions 28 to 526 of the family's 1533-position model. The record is from RNAcentral.